This 29-nucleotide non-coding RNA is filed under the name Mus musculus (house mouse). The record is from RNAcentral. Lineage: Eukaryota; Metazoa; Chordata; Mammalia; Rodentia; Muridae.
UCCACCUGCAAAGGAGUGCUGAGUGUGUC